AUACGGAGGGUGCAAGCGUUAAUCGGAAUUACUGGGCGUAAAGCGCUCGUAGGCGGCUUGUUAAGUCGGAUGUGAAAGCCCCGGGCCCAACCUGGGAACUGCAUUCGAUACUGGCAGGCUAGAGUAUAGUAGAGGCAAGUGGAAUUCCGGGUGUAGCGGUGAAAUGCGUAGAUAUCCGGAGGAACAUCAGUGGCGAAGGCGACUUGCUGGACUAAUACUGACGCUGAGGAGCGAAAGCGUGGGGAGCAAACGGGAUUAGAAACCCCAGUAGUCC
RNAcentral lists this ribosomal RNA (274 nucleotides) under uncultured bacterium. Its description in RNAcentral is "partial 16S ribosomal RNA". It matches the Rfam family "Bacterial small subunit ribosomal RNA", at positions 523 to 796 of the family's 1533-position model. The record is from RNAcentral.